AGAUUGAACGCUGGCGGCAGGCCUAACACAUGCAAGUCGAGCGGUAGAGAGGUGCUUGCACCUCUUGAGAGCGGCGGACGGGUGAGUAAUGCCUAGGAAUCUGCCUAGUGGUGGGGGAUAACGUUCGGAAACGGACGCUAAUACCGCAUACGUCCUACGGGAGAAAGCGGGGGACCUUCGGGCCUCGCGCCAUUAGAUGAGCCUAGGUCGGAUUAGCUAGUUGGUGAGGUAAUGGCUCACCAAGGCGACGAUCCGUAACUGGUCUGAGAGGAUGAUCAGUCACACUGGAACUGAGACACGGUCCAGACUCCGUACGGGAGCAGCAGGUGGGAAUA
Molecule: ribosomal RNA, 335 nt
Filed under: uncultured soil bacterium
Lineage: Bacteria
Description: bacterial SSU rRNA
Rfam family: Bacterial small subunit ribosomal RNA
Source: RNAcentral